UACGGAGGGUGCGAGCGUUAAUCGGAAUUACUGGGCGUAAAGCGCGCGUAGGUGGUUUGAUAAGCGAGAUGUGAAAGCCCUGGGCUUAACCUGGGAACUGCAUUUCGAACUGUCAGGCUAGAGUACAGUAGAGGGAGGUAGAAUUUCCGGUGUAGCGGUGAAAUGCGUAGAGAUCGGAAGGAAUAUCAGUGGCGAAGGCGGCCUCCUGGACUGAUACUGACACUGAGGUGCGAAAGCGUGGGGAGCAAACAGG
This 253-nucleotide ribosomal RNA is filed under the name uncultured bacterium. RNAcentral's name for it is "partial 16S ribosomal RNA". It matches the Rfam family "Bacterial small subunit ribosomal RNA", at positions 524 to 776 of the family's 1533-position model. The record is from RNAcentral.